Molecule: ribosomal RNA, 253 nt
Filed under: uncultured bacterium
Lineage: Bacteria
Description: partial 16S ribosomal RNA
Rfam family: Bacterial small subunit ribosomal RNA
Source: RNAcentral
UACGUAGGUGGCAAGCGUUGUCCGGCUUUACUGGGGGUAAAGAGCGCGCAGGCGGUCGUUCAAGUCGCGUGUGAAAGCCCCCGGCUCAACUGGGGAGGGUCACGCGAUACUGAUCGACUCGAAGGCAGGAGAGGGUAGUGGAAUUCCCGGUGUAGUGGUGAAAUGCGUAGAUAUCGGGAGGAACACCAGUGGCGAAGGCGACUACCUGGCCUGUUCUUGACGCUGAGGCGCGAAAGCUAGGGGAGCAAACGGG